RNAcentral lists this ribosomal RNA (253 nucleotides) under uncultured bacterium. RNAcentral describes it as "partial 16S ribosomal RNA". It matches the Rfam family "Bacterial small subunit ribosomal RNA", at positions 524 to 776 of the family's 1533-position model. The record is from RNAcentral.
UACGAAGGUCCCAAGCGUUGUUCGGAAUCACUGGGCGUAAAGGGAGCGUAGGCGGCGCGGUAAGUCAGAUGUGAAAUCCCGGGGCUCAACCCCGGAACUGCAUCCGAUACUGCCGUGCUAGAGUAAUGGAGAGGUAGCUGGAAUUAUCGGUGUAGCAGUGAAAUGCGUAGAUAUCGAUAGGAACACUCGUGGCGAAAGCGAGCUACUGGACAUUUACUGACGCUGAGGCUCGAAGGCUAGGGGAGCGAAAGGG